This 223-nucleotide unclassified non-coding RNA is filed under the name uncultured Pseudomonadota bacterium. Its description in RNAcentral is "uncultured proteobacterium contains 16S-23S intergenic spacer region". It matches the Rfam family "Bacterial small subunit ribosomal RNA", at positions 980 to 1201 of the family's 1533-position model. The record is from RNAcentral. Lineage: Bacteria; Pseudomonadati; Pseudomonadota.
UACCCUUGACAUGUCCGGAAUCCUGCAGAGAUGCAGGAGUGCCCGAAAGGGAGCCGGAACACAGGUGCUGCAUGGCUGUCGUCAGCUCGUGUCGUGAGAUGUUGGGUUAAGUUCCGCAACGAGCGCAACCCUCGCCCUUAGUUGCCAUCAUUCAGUUGGGCACUCUAGGGGGACUGCCGGUGAUAAGCCGCGAGGAAGGUGGGGAUGACGUAGACCUUGGACC